CGCAUCUGUGCAUGCAGCAUAUCAAUAAGCGGAGGAAAAGAAACUAACAAGGAUUCCCCUAGUAACGGCGAGUGAAGCGGGAAGAGCUCAAAUUUGAAAUCUUAAAGGGUUUCCCUUUACGAAUUGUAGUUUAAAGAAGUGUCUUCUGUUGAGGUUUUGGUAAAAGUUCUUUGGAAUAGGACAUCAUAGAGGGUGAGAAUCCCGUAUUUGACCUUUACUUUCAACUUUGUGAUACACUUUCAAAGAGUCGGAUUGUUUGGGAAUGCAGUCCAAAAUGGGUGGUAAAUUUCAUCUAAAGCUAAAUAUUGGCGAGAGACCGAUAGCGAACAAGUACCGUGAGGGAAAGAUGAAAAGAACUUUGAAAAGAGGAGUUAAGCAGUACGUGAAAUUGUCAAAAGGGAAGCGUUUGACACCAGUGUUGUUUUUCUGAAAAUCAAUUAAAGAACUGUUUAUGCUAAGUUGUUUAGACUUUAUCAGCUAACUGUUUAGUUUUGAGCUUUUCUUUAAUGCACUUUUCAGUUAACAAGUCAACAUCAAUUUCUUUUGCUGUAAAAAAGCUUGAGGAAGGUGGCUUGAGAUUCGUCUUAAGUGUUUAUAGCCUCUUGCCUAUGCAGUCGGAGAGAUUGAGGUCUGCAGCGUAGAUCCUUCGGGGCUAAAUGCAUUUGUGCUAAGUUAUAACAUUUUAUAGACAACUUGUUGACUAUGAUUCGUCUUGUAGCUUACUCGCUUAUGUUAUUUUACCUACGCUUAGGAUGUUGACAGCAGUAUAGACUGU
Molecule: ribosomal RNA, 775 nt
Filed under: uncultured Neocallimastigales
Lineage: Eukaryota; Fungi; Neocallimastigomycota; Neocallimastigomycetes; Neocallimastigales
Description: partial large subunit ribosomal RNA
Rfam family: Eukaryotic large subunit ribosomal RNA
Source: RNAcentral